CCUACGGGUGGCAGCAGUGGGGGAUAUUGCACAAUGGGGGAAACCCUGAUGCAGCGACGCCGCGUGAGUGAAGAAGUAUUUCGGUAUGUAAAGCUCUAUCAGCAGGGAAGAAAAUGACAGUACCUGACCAAGAAGCCCCGGCUAACUACGUGCCAGCAGCCGCGGUAAUACGUAGGGGGCAAGCGUUAUCCGGAUUUACUGGGUGUAAAGGGAGCGUAGACGGUUAUGUAAGUCUGGAGUGAAAGCCCGGGGCCCAACCCCGGGACUGCUUUGGAAACUGUUGAACUGGAGUACAGGAGAGGUAAGCGGAAUUCCUAGUGUAGCGGUGAAAUGCGUAGAUAUUAGGAGGAACACCAGUGGCGAAGGCGGCUUACUGAACUGUAACUGACGUUGAGGCUCGAAAGCGUGGGGAGCAAACAGGAUUAGAUACCCGUGUAGUC
RNAcentral lists this ribosomal RNA (440 nucleotides) under uncultured bacterium. RNAcentral describes it as "partial 16S ribosomal RNA". It matches the Rfam family "Bacterial small subunit ribosomal RNA", at positions 338 to 795 of the family's 1533-position model. The record is from RNAcentral.